This 215-nucleotide ribosomal RNA is filed under the name uncultured Pseudomonas sp. RNAcentral's name for it is "partial 16S ribosomal RNA". It matches the Rfam family "Bacterial small subunit ribosomal RNA", at positions 1168 to 1382 of the family's 1533-position model. The record is from RNAcentral. Lineage: Bacteria; Pseudomonadati; Pseudomonadota; Gammaproteobacteria; Pseudomonadales; Pseudomonadaceae.
GGAAGGUGGGGAUGACGUCAAGUCAUCAUGGCCCUUACGGCCUGGGCUACACACGUGCUACAAUGGUCGGUACAAAGGGUUGCCAAGCCGCGAGGUGGAGCUAAUCCCAUAAAACCGAUCGUAGUCCGGAUCGCAGUCUGCAACUCGACUGCGUGAAGUCGGAAUCGCUAGUAAUCGUGAAUCAGAAUGUCACGGUGAAUACGUUCCCGGGCCUU